RNA transcript from Drosophila montana, 1418 nucleotides. It is a transcript of the gene named cell cycle control protein 50A, with no coding region annotated. NCBI's taxonomy places the organism in Eukaryota, Metazoa, Arthropoda, Insecta, Diptera, Drosophilidae. The transcript has 7 exons. The record is from RefSeq and is a predicted model, not a curated record.
AAAUUUCUUGUAUUAUUUGUGUAUUUGCGUGAGCGAAUUUGCGACGACUGGUUAAUUUUCAAGUUGGUUAUCUGAAAUUUUUGUCGCAUUGGUGGUCGUCAGUACCGUGUAUAAAGCGCCAUGUCGACGCAAAAUGUGGGAAAUGAAGAAAACGCAGCCCCAAAGUCGAAACGACCUUCAGAUUCAGCUUUUAAGCAACAACGCCUGCCCGCCUGGCAGCCCGUGCUGACCGCACGAACGGUUCUGCCCACCUUCUUUGUCAUUGGUGUCCUAUUCAUUCCCAUUGGCGUGGUGCUGCUGUACCUAUCCAAUUCAUCCAAUGAGCUCAUCAUUGACUACACUAGGUGCAUGCAGGUCGACAGUAAUAGGACCUGCGCCGAUUAUCUGGAGGACACAACGGGCGGCCAGUGCUUUUGCAAGAUUAACUUUAAUCUGACUGAAGACUUUAUUGGCGACGUUUACAUGUACUAUGGCCUAACCAAUUACUAUCAGAAUCAUCGACGAUAUGUGAAAUCGCGAGACGAUGAACAGCUGUUGGGUCGCUUGUCCUUAACGCCAAGUUCAGACUGCACCCCAUUUGCCUAUGCAGAUAAUGGGAAACCCAUUGCGCCUUGCGGGGCCAUUGCCAAUUCCCUAUUUAAUGAUACACUGACACUGAGCCAAGGCAGCUCGAAUAUCAAAUUACUAAAUACGGGCAUUGCAUGGCCAUCGGACAAGCGCGUCAAGUUCCGUAAUCCCCCGGGCAACCUGUCAGAAGCUUUAAAGCCAUAUGAAAAGCCCAUAUUCUGGCAAAAAGAACUCGAUGAAUUGGAUUUAACAAAUGUCGCUAACAAUGGUUUCCAGAACGAGGAUUUAAUCGUGUGGAUGCGCACUGCUGCCUUGCCCAGUUUUCGCAAGCUAUACCGUCGCUUGGAUCAAACAAAUAAUAGCUUUACGAGAGGCCUUAAAGCCGGCGAAUACACGUUGGACGUAGAUUAUAAAUAUCCCGUGGUAUCGUUUGAUGGCACCAAGCGUAUGAUUCUAUCGACAACAUCAGUGCUGGGCGGUAAAAAUCCAUUCCUGGGCAUUGCCUAUAUUGUUGUUGGUGGCAUCUGUUUAAUACUUGGACUAGCGCUUCUCUUCAUUCAUAUGCGCUGCAGCCGCAGCAUUGAGUUGAUUUGAAGCUCAUGCCUCUCAAGUCCCAUCAAAUAAAAAAUUGUCAAAAUGGCUGUCAAAGUUAACAAGCUGUCGCAGCAACAUGGAGAUGAUAAACGUUAAUCCGCAUACGCAGUACUCCUAGAAGCAACGGAUGCGGUUUGAUAGUAUUUUUGGCAAAAACUCCUCUCGCCCAUGCACCAUUAUUUAGCUAUAAUAUCUUGUUUAAGCAUAAUUAUCUAUGUAUGUCUUUGUAACAGAAUACACACAAUUAGUUUCUUAUA